GGUGGUUCUACUUUGGACUUCUUCAUACUUAAACAAACACAAUUAGGUCUAAGCAAUGAACUAUAUAUAUAUAUAUAAAAACAUGCUUUUUCUAAUCUUUAAAAACUAACCCCUUGAUUUAGUUAAAUUAUCAAAAUCGUCCCCGUUUGGGAAAAUAACCAAAGUCCGUAUACGGUUUCUUAGAUUUAACACCAAGCACACACACACAAACACACAAAU
Molecule: long non-coding RNA, 219 nt
Organism: Arabidopsis thaliana (thale cress)
Lineage: Eukaryota; Viridiplantae; Streptophyta; Magnoliopsida; Brassicales; Brassicaceae
Product: other RNA
Exons: 1
Source: RefSeq